Molecule: transfer RNA, 90 nt
Filed under: Laccaria bicolor S238N-H82
Lineage: Eukaryota; Fungi; Basidiomycota; Agaricomycetes; Agaricales; Hydnangiaceae
Rfam family: tRNA
About the family: Transfer RNA (tRNA) molecules are approximately 80 nucleotides in length. Their secondary structure includes four short double-helical elements and three loops (D, anti-codon, and T loops).
Source: Rfam by way of RNAcentral
GCAUUAAUGGGGUAGUGGUAACCUGGGUCGUUGCCAUUCAGUCGCGAGGAAGUUCUCGACCCGCCGGGGGUUCGAUUCCCUCUUAAUGCA